Molecule: ribosomal RNA, 253 nt
Filed under: uncultured bacterium
Lineage: Bacteria
Description: partial 16S ribosomal RNA
Rfam family: Bacterial small subunit ribosomal RNA
Source: RNAcentral
UACGAAGGGGGCUAGCGUUGCUCGGAAUCACUGGGCGUAAAGGGUGCGUAGGCGGGUCUUUAAGUCAGGGGUGAAAUCCUGGAGCUCAACUCCAGAACUGCCUUUGAUACUGAGGAUCUUGAGUUCGGGAGAGGUGAGUGGAACUGCGAGUGUAGAGGUGAAAUUCGUAGAUAUUCGCAAGAACACCAGUGGCGAAGGCGGCUCACUGGCCCGAUACUGACGCUGAGGCACGAAAGCGUGGGAGCAAACAGGG